AGUGAUCAGUUCCUAUUUGAUAGAGAUAAACACUAACCUUAAUUUAACGUUCAAAUAUCAACUCUCUCUGAACAGUGAAAGCCCUACUCUUCUGUACAUAGCAUCUUCAAUUCCAUGAGGACCCCACGCUUUUCAAACGUGCCUUUAUCGAUAAUUUGCUGAAAUCCUAAUAUCCACAUCACCGUACAUUCAGUCAUCAGUGCACGGUCAUCUGAGGAGCGCAUGAAAAGGCAGGACAGAGGAUGAGUUUUGAACGAAAGAAUCCCUUGGAUUGGAUGGAUCGCUUGUUGUACCUACAUAGAAGCAAGCAUGAACUUCGCGGGAACCGGCAACGCUUACUCCAACUCCAAACGAGUUCUUAUGUAAUCGAGUAAAAGACAGGGCUCUCUAACUGAUAAACGUUAUUCUCCACCGAUUAGUUGGCGGUGCUCAUUUUUAGAUUUGUGGCAAUAUAUUAAAAGGUUUAGAUAGCGACUUUAAGGGUUAUUAAUAUCGCGUUAGGUUAGGUUGGGUUAGGUUAGGUAAGGUUAGAUUAGGUUUGAUUGGGUGAGGUUAAGAUUUAAAAAAGUAGCACCGCCAACUAAUCGGUGGAGAAUAACGUUUACCCUCUCUAACUACGCCUUUUCUCAUAUUGCCGGGAACGCUCACUUUAUCGCACACCAGGGGUGCGAUAAUGGUGGCUAAAGUCUUUUUUUUUUCUUAAAAAAGUUCGAUCUAUUUGAGAUGUUUCGUAAUAUUUCCAUGUCAUUCUCUAUCUCGACGAUUUUUUCUCCAAAUGGACCUUUUUAGACAAAUUUUCGAGAUGAGUGAAUAAAAUAGGAAAAUACAUAUCUCGUGGUAUAAUGUAAAGAUUUCAGUGCAGAGAAUUCCAAAGCAUUUUCAAUCGUCCAUUGAUUUGGGAGUCCUGACGAAUUGAACUCCAUGAAUUGACUUGAGCUUUUUGCAUCAUCUGCGUCGCAAUUUCUGUCGAUGCCCGUCGGUGGCUAAAGAAUUGGGUCUCCACGUGGGAUGAACAUUUUUCUUUUACUUCAACACCGAAAAUUGAACGGAGUGGGCCAAGGAUGGGGCGAAGCAAAAGAACCGAUUGAAAGUGGGCCACAAUUGCUGACACGGCAAUGCACGCUUGUAUUCUGGGAAUAUCCUAAGUUUGAAGUGGCAAUUGCGCCCAAAGAUGGUUCCUAAUUAAAAGUUUCAUUUCUGAGUAUGGAUUGCAAUAAAACAUGUGUCGAUAA
Molecule: long non-coding RNA, 1232 nt
Organism: Tigriopus californicus
Lineage: Eukaryota; Metazoa; Arthropoda; Copepoda; Harpacticoida; Harpacticidae
Exons: 2
Source: RefSeq, a predicted model, not a curated record